RNAcentral lists this long non-coding RNA (1541 nucleotides) under Homo sapiens (human). RNAcentral's name for it is "HSALNT0005667". Lineage: Eukaryota; Metazoa; Chordata; Mammalia; Primates; Hominidae. The record is from RNAcentral.
GAAACUCCCAGUGUCACAUAGAUAGCAAGUGGCCUCACCACGAUUUGAACUGGGGGAGUUGUGCUCUGGAGUCCAAAAUCUUAACUGCUCUGGGAUACUGGGACACUGGAGCAGAAGGAUUUGGGGCAAGUCUGGAGAGGCCCAAGUGCAAUACUGAGACAUCUAGAACAAUAGGAGAGAGGAGAUCAGUUCUUUUGGGGAAGGUCAAAGAUAGAGGACAGGUGUGGAGGCUGGCAGGUCUCAGCUGACUAGAGAGAAGAACUUUCUUAAAAAAGGCAGAGCUGUCGAACAAUGGAGGGCUGCCCUACCCUGAGUGUUGAGUGCCUGGUGGCUGGCAGUCUGCAGGGAAAAUGAUGCCUCUGUGCUGGGCAUGGGGGCAGGGGCUCUUGCUGUGGUAGAGGGCUGUACAUAUGGACUCCAGAGGGCGUAAGUGAUAAUCCUCUCUUCCUUUCUCAGAACCACCUUUCUACAGGCUUUGGUGUCUCAGCGCGGGAGGCACAGAUGGCGAGGUCUGCCUUUGGCCAGGUGUGGGCGCCCAGUGUUGGGGGAGAAGACUGCAGGCACAGAAGACUGAACUCACAGGCAGAAGGAGAAAGUGAAGAGAAGAGAGGGAGAAGGGCCCUGACCGAGGCCACCAGCUUGUGCGAGGUGCUGGAGCCGGGAAGAGGUGCGUUCUUGCUCUCGACAGGAAGUGUCAUUGGCUCUGCAGCAAGUGCCUCUAGGGACAAGGAACUCACUACCUCCUAGAGUGACACAUGCCCAUUCUUUGAACAAGUGUGACUGCCGGGAAAAAGGUGUACUGCGUACAGCUGUCAAGAAUGCAAAUGCCACUGAGUGUUGGGGGCAUGGGCAGCUCCGGAGCCAUCAACCUGGCCAGUCUUCACAGCCUACCCCAGUGGCAGACCCCCUGAAUCCACCCCAGGGCCCCAGUAAGCCCCCGUGAACCUGUGAACUUUGCAUUUCUAUGCUCAACACUCAGGGUGAGCAGUCCAGAAAAAACAACCCAUGCACAGCAGGUGCUGGGGGUAGUCAGGCUUCAAGAUGCCUCCAAAUGGUUCUCAUCUCUGAGUAUUCACACUGAAUGGAACUGACCUAUGUAACUAACAGGAUGUCGUGGGAAUGACAGGCAUGACUUCCAUGGCUAGGUCAUAAAGAGAUUGUGGCUUCUACCUUGCUCUCUCUUGGACCCCAGUUGCUGGAGGAAGCCAUCUGCCAUGUCAAACAGCCUAUGGAGAUGCCCAUGUGGGGAAGAAUGGAGGUCCCCUGCCAACAAUCAGCUUUGACAUGCCAAGCCUGUGAGGGAGCCAUCUGGAAAGGGAGUCUUCCAGCCCCAAUCAGGCCUUCAGAUGACUGCAGCCCUGGCCAGCUCCUUGACUGCAACCUCAUGACAGACCUUGAGCAAGAACUGCUCAGCUAAGCUGCUUCUGAAUUCUUAACCUACAGAAAUGUCUAAUGCUUUAAGAAGCAAAGUAUGGGGUAAUUUACCACAUGCAAUAGAUAACAAAACCAUGUGCAAUAAAUACUGGUUAAACAAGUGAAUG